Non-coding RNA from Schizosaccharomyces pombe (fission yeast), 399 nucleotides. The record is from the annotation of a GenBank genome assembly. NCBI's taxonomy places the organism in Eukaryota, Fungi, Ascomycota, Schizosaccharomycetes, Schizosaccharomycetales, Schizosaccharomycetaceae.
CUGCUUUACUUAUUCUACCUAUCCAAUAUUUAUACUUCCUAUGUUUUACCUCUUUUAUAUUUCGUUAACAUGUUUAACGAUUACUCGCUUUACUGCUCGUUACCCACCUGAAUCAAAACUGAGUCAACUUCAUAUUUUUUAACCAUCCUAAUUAUUAUAGUACACUACUUGUCCCUAUCACCUUUAACGUACUCCAGCACACUCAAUUCAAAUCAACUUCAAAUUUUUCAUCCGUUUUAUUCACUCAUGCACACUACAUCCCCUUAUUAUACUUACUGCAUCCCAACACACUCACUUCCACUCAUUUCAGUGUUUUGUCCAUCUUCACUACCACACUACACUACUCAUUCUUCCCGACGACAUAUCACUCAACAAACUUUUUCAAUAAUUUUUUUUUCU